Molecule: long non-coding RNA, 6502 nt
Filed under: Sus scrofa (pig)
Lineage: Eukaryota; Metazoa; Chordata; Mammalia; Artiodactyla; Suidae
Description: lncRNA (ENSSSCG00000053045.1)
Source: RNAcentral
GUUCUCUUUGGAAAGUUCUCUGGAAUCCAGGCUUCCGCCCGCAGGGCAGGGUCGGGGCUGGAGGAGCAAGUCCCUGUGUGCCCUCACCUGCCCACGGGACCACGCACCAGCUCUGACCACUGGCAGACAGAAGCCUGAACCUGGCCCGGAUCAGCUGCUGUCUCUCUGCAGGACAGGCUGGUUGCGGCCCCAGGGGUGUGGCGGCCCACAGCGGCCUGAGCCCGUGUGAGAUGUGCAGAGACAAAGCAUCAGGCUGUGGUGCCUGCCCCGUGGGGCCCCAACCUCUGUCUACAUGCCCGAGGGUCCCGCAGGCCCCUGUGGCGGCUCCACCCUGCCUGCCUUGUCCCCGAGUAGGACAGCCACGGGGCAGGAGUGGGCUCCACUCGCGCUGCCCCAUCCCAGGCGAGGCCCUGGGUUCAGGAAGUGUGUGCAGUCCCGGGCAGGCCGAGCCUUGCUCGCGGUGUCUGUGCCGUCCCAGGCCCCAGAGGAGUCGGGGCAGGUGAGCGGAGAGGGGCCCAGCGGAUAAGCGGUCCAACCGAGCCCCAAGCCCAUGAGAGGUGCCCUGGCCUACCUGCUGCCUCCGGGCGGGUCCUGCGCUGUGGGUGCCGUCCUCCCGGGCUCUGGGCCGCCGGGUCUGCCCCCGCCCUGUAGGAGCAGUGGGGCCGUCAGAGGGGCUCUGUCGUGCUCCACGGCCGGCACCCCCACGUUGGGCUCUCCUUCCGUACCUCGAGGGGGCUGUCCAGGAAGAGGAUGGGGUGGUACCCGGGCGGAGGGGGCCUGAGGCGGACAUCAGAGAACUGGGCACAGCCUCGCUCCACUCGCCGACAGGCCUCAGGGCAGCGGGCCGCCCGUGUCCUGGCUGAAGGAAAGGAGGUUCUCAGAACAACGAAGAGCAGAAAGGCCUCCGAGUGUCGGAGGCAAAGAUGGGAGAGAACCUUCCCCGUGGCCUCUCUGAAGUGCCCGUGUGGCUGAGGUGGUCGCGACACGGAUAGUCAUGUGGGUCUCGGGGGGCGGGGGAUCCCGGCCCCGGGGCCAGCAUGUGGGCCACAUGCCAUGUCCAUGUGUGGGCCGAGGCAGGUGCGCACAGAGCAGGCUCUGUGGCGGGUGUGCUCUGGGCUCCACUGCCCCUAGUGCCCCUUUGCCUGGGGCCAGCUCCGGGCCUGGCAGGUGAUGCUCUUGCCACAAAGCCCUGCUGGCCGAGGCCCUGGGUGUCUGGGGCAGGACUGCGCAGGCUGCAGGUCGGAGGCCUUGUGCUCGGCCAGAGCCCAACGCUCUCUUCUGACCAGUGGGAACAGACGACAUCCCUACUUGACGACGGCUGUGCGUGCAGGCAACACGGGGCUCCUCAGUGACACGCACGGAAGAACCUGCAGCCAGCAGUCCCCAUGGAGGCAACACCCCAGGAGACCCCGAAACUCCUUGCAGUGGGCACCCCACUGGGAUGCCUGCCCAUCCCACUCGCAGCCCAGUCACCCCCUCCCUGCCUCUUCUGAACCAAGGGCCCACACCGAACCUGGAGGGGCUCUGCCCCCAGGCACCUGGGACCCUCCCAAAUAUAAGCAUGUCAUGCCCGCUGUCCUUUGGCGGCUGGGCUCCUGGGCCUUCUGCCCCGAGGGUCCCUGCCCGCCCCCUGCGGUGGGGAGCAGCCACAAGGAGAAGCGGCCAAGCCUCAGGGAGGCGGCUGAAGGCCCUCACAGCCGAGCCUGCAGGGCGGCCCCCUUGGUGGGUGGGGGGUCCCCGGUGGAUGGGGGGCUCUGGGUGAGUGGAGGGGCAUCUCUCACCCGGGUACCGGGGGAGCCCUGAGCAGCUGCAUUAACCCCCCUCCCUGGAGCCCAGCUUCUGCAGGGAGAGGGGGAGAUGGCCCCAUGGCACCUCCAAGUUACGGGCGGCGAGUUAUUUUUCUCAGAGGUGUCUUAAUCGCGUCAUUAGGGCCGCGAUAAAAAGCAAAGUCUCCGUCUGCAAGGACGUCCCCAGCGAAUGCCCUUCUCACGUUUCUUUUGCUGCCUCGCACUUUGCGUCCUGGGCAGCGACGGGGAACCGCUGCUGGAGGCAUAAUUUCCGCUUGUUAACGCGCCGCCGGUUUCCACGCAGCUGCAAGAGGAGCUCACAGACUGACUCCUUUAUAAAGGCCCCCGGCCCCGUCCUGACAGCCCUCUGCCAAGGUGACUGCGCCACAGCGGCCCCCAGUCAGAGCAGCCGCCUCGGGCCUGGGCCCACAGGCACCGUGGCCGGGCUGGGGACGCGGCAGGGACGCAACUGCGCUCGUCGCCUCUGCCAUGUGCCGACGGGCCGUCUGCAGAGGCUGGUCUUCCUGACCGUCGGGGGCGUCCAGCCCCUGCAGGAGGUUCUCCGGGAGACCAGGCCGCCCUGGAGCACAGGGUCUGCCCUGAUUGCCACGUGGAUGACAAGGGACCGAGGCUCGGAUGCAGAGUGAGAGCCACGGCCCCCGGCACUCACGUUGUGAGACCCAGUGGGCGGACUGCGUGGGGCAAGGAUGCAGAAAACCCCGGGUGGCUCAGGACUGCCUCCCCGUCUCAGCCACGAGGGGGGCCGUCCACCAUCCAGGGACAGAGCAGAGGGCUCCAGGGCCCUUCUGGCUGCAAAUCACGAAGGCAGCUCUGAGUCUUGGGAGGGAACCUUCUACUGCAUUUGGACCCUGGCCCGGGACCCGUAAGCGCAUCCAAUCCCGAGGGAUGGCUCCCACAAAGAGGCAAGGAGGGCGGGCGGCAGGGCAGCCUCUGGAAUCAGGCCGGCGUGGGCACAGGAGGCCGAGGGUGCUGUUGCUGACGAGGGCACCCAUCCCGCAAGUGUGUGCUGCCUGUGCUGGGCACCUGACUGCUUCCUCUUUGUCUCCAAGCCCGAUUCCUGCCCUCCUGCCACUUGGCGCCCGUCUUGGUGAGAGGCCGCCCCAUCCACAGGUUACUUGGCCAGGAACCUGGGCAAGACCCUCUCUCCCGCCUGAUACUGGUCUUCCCAUGCCCCUUUGGUCCUUGUCCUUGCCGGCAGCCCCAUGGCCACCAUCUCGGGGUCCAGGCCACUGCCCUGCUUGCUGGUUCCAGCUCUGGCCAUCCAUCCGCCCCUCCCGUUCCAGCACAUGGACCCACAAUCCGGAUUGAAACCCAACGGCUUGCAGCCUCAGCAUGAGCGGGCCCUGUCCUCCCUCGGCCGAGCCAGGCCACACUUUCUGGAUGCUAGGCGGCCUCCGCUCCCCUCCUUUCCCAGGACGUUGCCGCAGGGCUUUCUCACCACGUCGCCUUGUGGCAAACCUGGUCCCGAGCGGCCGAACCAACCACAGGAAAGGCGGGUGCCGCUUUCUCACAACACACUCAGUUGCAGAGACACCGCUGGGCACACGGUGAGGCCACGGCAUGGCCCCCCAGCGCCGCUCCUGGGGGCAGGCCCACAGCUACUCCAAGGGGCAUCAGAGCCCCUGAGGCGCCAUCAGCCCCAAAUCUGGGCUCCAUGGGCCCCAAGGAUGCUGCUCAGGAGAAAGACACUCCCCAGCCCCUUGUGGGGACCACGUUCCCUGGUGUGGGUCCUGCCCUGGCCUCCAGGGCCCUGGGGCCCCGUUUCUGGGCCCCCAUGCCUGGCCAGCCAAGCCAGGGGGCCCUGUAAACACCAUGCCCAACUCCAGCUCUGGCAGUGAGUUCUGUCGACUUGAAUGACAGCUAUGGCUUUAUCAGCAAGAUAAAGGUCACAGGGCUGCCUCCAGGGGGCGGAGGCUGAGCCUGCCAGGGAGAGCGGGCAGCCUGACCUCUCUGGGAGGGAAAUGCCGAUUAAUUAUCUUUUUACAGCCCACUCAAUUAGACUCCCUAGUCACCUGUGUAGGACACAGAGGCGAGAGACGAAGAAGCCUCUGGAAUAAACAAGGCUCCUGCAGGCCCAGCCCCCCCCCCGCCCCGGGUGGACAGUCAGCUCCAGGAGAGCUGUUUGCUCACUUGUGGGAACCCAGCCCCUGAGAUGGCAUCGGCCCUAAGAGAACGGCGCACCUUCAGGACAGACUCCAUCAGCAGGGAGCAGGUGGGUUAGAAAGACACGAACAGUGAGCAUUUGGGCGGCCACUGGGGGCCGUGCGGGGCUGUGAGUCUAAAUGACCAGGGUAGGGGAGGCAGCCUGAAGGCCACGCAUGGCCAGAUGGCACCCUUGGGCCCUUCUCCAGGCGGCCAGGUGCCAGGCGAGGGCUCCCUCUGGGCUGCGCCCCCUGUGUUCCGGUGGACAAACAGCCCUGCUGCAGCCUGGGGUCCAGUCUGGAGGGUCUGACAUGAGAGCUGAGGGCUCCCUGAGCCCCACAGGUGACCGACCCCUCAUGCCUCCCAUUCCUGCCCUCCUGCCCCUGAAGCUGGGGGUCAAGCCCGAUGCCCGCGACGCAUUUAGUGCUGGGAGAUGGCCCAGGACUGGAGGAGGCGGGAAAGGCACAGUCUUGCCUGAUGGGGGCCAUGGCUGCCUCUGCGAAACCGCAGGUGGUUCCGGUGGGAGCCGGUGGGGAUGGGCUGCUGUCCCCUGGCACAGCUGGACAUCUUGCCUUCUGAGCUCUCCGGCCCUCUGGACAGCUCACCCUAAAGUCGGCUGCCUCUGGCCUCCUUCCCUUGCACAGGCAGGACUGGAGGGGACCUAGCCGGCAAGUGGCCUUUCGAAGGACGAAAUGCUGAUUCCAAGGCUUCCAGACGCCAGGAACCCAGAAGCAGGUGGGGGGCCUGGGACUCGCCCUCUUCCCCGUGAUGCUCCCGGGAAGCCAGGCCCUGACAGUGGGUGCAAGCACACACUUACACCUGGCUGUGCAUGCACGCUCACACACGUGUGCAUUCACACAGACACACACAUGGCCCUGGCGCCUCCCUAUAGGGCGUCCUGCCAGCCCAGCUCCCUCCUGUGUGUCACCCUGUCCUGAUUCUGUCCCCUCCAGUCAGGGGGCCUGGGCCAGGCCUGCACCACCGCCCCCAGGACAACGGUGGUUCCCAAGCAGGGGCCAGGCAGGGGCCAGAUGCUGGAAGCUGCUAGCAGCCAAGGCCAAGCCUGCCUCCUGGUCCUGUCUAGAUAUGGGGGAAGCCAGGAAGCAAGGCUGUGGUCCUCAGUGUCUGGGGCCCGGCAAGCAGAUAGUCUAGACUCCUGAGGUCAUGGGGAGAGCUGACUCGUGCCCACCUGGCAGGGCGUCCUCACUGCUGGUGUGUCUGAGAGGACGUGUCACCUGGGGGCUUCUCCUGCGCCCCCUUGGGGACAGGUCUCUGAGGCCACAACCAGGUGCUGAGAAGGCCAGGCUGGCACCAUGUUGCCCAGAGGCACCUCCAGGUGCCCUGCGGUGCAGUCCCUUCUAAGGAUGUGUUUGUGCCCAGUGCCAGUGCCCACGGGGUGCCAGUUCCCCACGGUGCCUGACCUCAGCUCUGCUGGGAACUCGGGGGCCCGCUUUCCUUCUUUCUCUCCACCCUGUGGUUCCCACCAGAUGGUCGCCAAGAACCCACCAUCAGUGGCUGAAGGGCGUGGGGUAUUGGGGGCAGUGCCAGGGGUCUGCGCGCUGGCGGUGCCCAUGGGGCCGCAGGACACGCGGAGAGGCGGGUGCUCACCACACAGGCGUCCUGCUGAGGGAUGGAGAGGCCAGCGGGGUGCUCGCCUCGGCUGGGGGUCAGGCCCCACCGCCCUGCUGACUGGGGCCCCAGAAGGAGCGCGGUAGCUUUGCUUGUCUGCGACCUUCCCCGAGACGGCGUGAUUCCUUGGCGAGGGGUUUACAGCACAACUUCCCUUUACGGAUGUGGCUCUUUCAUGCUCCUGUGCCGUAAUGAACCAUAGACAAUUAAUAUUAAAGCAUCCUAGUGCCCCAAGAGGCGCUGAGAUUUCCAGGCGUUGUCUGCCACACGUUCUGUCACUUUUAUUGGCAAGACCGGGUUGGCGGCAAAGGGCACCUUGGUUGGGUUUGGAAGACCCUCUCUUGGCUGCGGGUGGUGGUUCCCCAUAUCCCGCCUGAAGGGCGCUCAGAAGCGCAGUUCAGGGAGGAGGAGGGACCCUAGGAUCCAUGGAAACGUUUCUGGGGAGGGUUCUGUGCCUCCAAAAGUGAGCCGGGCUUCUCUCUCGAGGCUGUGGCGUUUUUAGGUCCCCAGAUCCCGUUUACCGGGGACUGUUGCUGCCGGGCUCAGCCGGCCUGACAAUGUCCUCCUGGCAAUUGCCAGCACCUGCAUGAGGAUUCAAUAGGCUGAAAUUACGGGGGGCAGCGGCGGGGGGGUGCUGCGAGGCAGACACCCCGCUGACAACAAUUCACAUGAAAGGGUCCCACCGUUUAAAGCUGUGGGUGGGAAUUACAAAAGGUUAAGAGACUAAAUAUAAAAAAAUUUUUGAAUAUAAAAUCAAUGCGCUUUGUUCCUCCAAUCUGGAUGCUAUAAUUUCACCAAAAUAGGGUUUGGAAGAAUAUCUGGCAAGCGUCCACGUCUAUGAAAUCGUCUUUUCUUCUCAAGAAAAAGCACAUUGUCUAUUCAAAAGUUAAAAUAAUUAAACAACUGAAAUAUUUCAUAUCAAC